This 499-nucleotide ribosomal RNA is filed under the name uncultured bacterium. Its description in RNAcentral is "bacterial SSU rRNA". It matches the Rfam family "Bacterial small subunit ribosomal RNA", at positions 353 to 870 of the family's 1533-position model. The record is from RNAcentral.
AGUGGGGAAUAUUGGACAAUGGGCGGAAGCCUGAUCCAGCAAUGCCGCGUGAGUGAUGAAGGCCUUAGGGUUGUAAAGCUCUUUCGCACGUGACGAUGAUGACGGUAACGUGAGAAGAAGCCCCGGCUAACUUCGUGCCAGCAGCCGCGGUAAUACGAAGGGGGCUAGCGUUGUUCGGAAUUACUGGGCGUAAAGGGCGCGUAGGCGGCCCGAUCAGUCAGAAGUGAAAGCCCCGGGCUCAACCUGGGAACUGCUUUCGAUACUGUCGGGCUUGAGUUUCGGAGAGGAUGGUGGAAUUCCCAGUGUAGAGGUGAAAUUCGUAGAUAUUGGGAAGAGCGCCGGUGGCGAAGGCGGCCAUCUGGACGAAUACUGACGCUGAGGCGCGAAAGCGUGGGGAGCAAACGGGAUUAGAUACCCUGGUAGUCCACGCCGUAAACGAUGAAUGCUAGACGCUGGGAUGCUUGCAUUUCGGUGUCGCCGCUAACGCAUUAAGCAUUCC